AACUCAAUUAUGGUAUGUGUAAUAUUUUUUUCAUAUUUUUUGUAUUAAACUAAAAUUUACUCGUUUCAUUUCUUUGUAAAAUUGUUGAUGUUGAUUUUCUGUUUUUUGACUUUCAGAUAUGUGAGUUUUGUAAAGUGUGUGUAAGAAAUAUCACUGAAGUAUCCGGUAUGUUUAAGUAAUUGAAACAUUCUUAAACACUGACAUUUUGAGGAGAGAUUCAGGCAACCUGUUCACAGUAAAUGAAGGAAGUGUUGUCAUUAUUUACAUCAAGACAUUUUUUGUAAAUUACAAUAAUUUCCUCUACAGUAGGCCUCUAUUUCUUCCAUCUUCCUUUUCCUUUUUUCCUCUCAGAUAAAAGCAGAAUUUAUGCGGAUAAAGACUGUGCCACUUCUGUCACCGUUCAUAGCAGCUGGACAGAAGUAAGUGCGAAGACAUACACAUCAAACGAGACUGUGUCAUAAAGAGUCUGUGUGUGUAUCUCAAUGGGGACAUUAUAACACUUGUCAGAGAAUUCCAGGACUGCAAUCCUGAAGGAGAUGAGGGAGGGGCUUCUGAGACCACUCUGGGCCUUUUUGUGACCCUUAAAGUGCUGAGUACUAGCCAGACGAUGUUGGAGUAGCAACAGAGGGUGUAAAACUGCUACAACACUUCAGAGUUUUUCCUUUGGAUUAAUAAUGCUGUUCAGAUUGAUCUACGCACUCAAGCUACGCUCAGAGUCUCAAAUUCACAUUUGAAUUCUUCCAGAAGGUAAUGAUGAAUUUGGACUUUAGGACAUCACAUAGAUGUCUGCAUCCCCUGGAAGGACAUUGAAAACUUUUAAACUUGUUCUGUAACGUUGAACUGAAGACAGUAUGAUCGAUGACACCAUGAACCGAUGACACUAACUCAAACUGCACCUAAUGCACCUUCUGGCUUCCUCUCUGAUACAUUUAAAGGGUUAGUUCACCAAAAAAUGAAGACUCUGUCAUUAAUUACUCUCCCUCAUGUCGUUCCACACCCGUAAGACCUUCGUUCAUCUUCAGAACACAUUUAAGAUAUUUUUGAUGAAAUCCGUGAGCUAUCUGGCCUCUGAUAGACUGCAACACAACUAUCACUUUCAAGGUCCAGAAAGGUAGUAAAGACAUCGUUAAAAUAGUCAACAUGACUGCAGUGGUUCAACCUUAAUAGUAUGAGGCGACGAGAAUACUUUUUGUGCGCAAAACAAAACAACAAAAACAAAAAAAAUGACUUAAUUCAAAAAUUUCUUCCCUUUUAUGUCAGUCUCCUACGCAGUUGAUGUUGUACACACAAAAUAUCUUAAUUUGUGUUUCGAAGAUGAACGAAGGUCUUAGGGGUUUGGAGCGACAUGAGGAUGACAGAAAUGUCAUUUUUGGGUGAAUAAACCCUUUAACAGAGAUGUUAGCCCUUGUGCUAUUCCUUGUCCAGGAAGUUAACUUGUGAGUAGGACACUUGGGCUACUGAAUGCCUAAAUGCUGAAACGUGACGGACAACAGAAUACCUGUUAUAUGUAAAGUAAAAUAUAAUCCUUCAGAUUGCUUUUCUUUUUCCCCAAGUGUCCUGAUUGUUUUAACAAAUGUUUACAAGGAAUGUAACCAUUUACAGAUCUGUAUCAAGUUUCAGAUAAGUGAAAGCACAAACUGAUUACCAUACUAUGCAGUGAGAUCCCAAUAUUACCUUGAAUAUGUGAAAAUAAUGUUUGAUGUUGAAAUUUGGUUCCUUGUUGAUCUAUGAACUUGUUGGCACACAGCCAUGACCAUUGUGUUAGUCUGGGAGAAGGCACAAAACUGCAGUAAACAGUUGCCUUAAUUUGUGAAAUACUGCAUUAUGUUCUGUUUUUUUCUGUCAGAUUGAAUGUUUCUUAUUAUUCCUGGAGCAAUUGUGACAAUAAAUGUUUAUAAAUGUAACACGUGUUUGACCAUUUAUUUAAUUUAAAUAAAGAAAUGUAAGGUAGUUAUAUAAAGCAAGUAAGAAUAAGUUAUUUGAAAAGAGUAAGGUUUAUGUAUUACACAAGCUUAAAUUGCAGUUUAUCAGUUAACAUAACCUUUAUUUAAUUCAUUCAAGUCAACUGAACAUGAUGGGGAAGCUUAAGUAAAAGUUAACUUUUUUAAGUUGGAUUUAUGUGAUUAAAUUCGAUGGAAAUUUUAUAUGCAAUUGAAUUAACUUUUGGGGUUAAAUAUUUUUUUUUUUUUUUUUUUUUUUUUUACUAUAUUCUCUAUUGCAGUUUAAUAUCAUUUUACAGUCAUAUUUACCCAAUCUUUAUUAAUUGUUAAAUCGUUUGUCAUUUGAUCAUUACUUCAAGUUCACAAUCAUUACUUUCAAAUGAUCCUAAAAUAACUGAUUGAGUAAAAGUAACCUGAAUUAUCAUGAUCAUACUGAAAUAUUCGAUCUAAUAAAAAACAAAAAAACAUACUACUUCAUGUAGGUGUCUGCUGUAAAUGUCUGGUUCAAAAAUACUUUCGAUGUCGCAUCACUAAAACAACAGCCUAAAACGGAAGCGAAAAUGGGAGGAAAC
Molecule: long non-coding RNA, 2512 nt
Organism: Ctenopharyngodon idella (grass carp)
Lineage: Eukaryota; Metazoa; Chordata; Actinopteri; Cypriniformes; Xenocyprididae
Exons: 3
Source: RefSeq, a predicted model, not a curated record